Molecule: ribosomal RNA, 587 nt
Filed under: Hanseniaspora uvarum
Lineage: Eukaryota; Fungi; Ascomycota; Saccharomycetes; Saccharomycodales; Saccharomycodaceae
Description: eukaryotic LSU rRNA
Rfam family: Eukaryotic large subunit ribosomal RNA
Source: RNAcentral
CGGAGGAAAAGAAACCAACUGGGAUUACCUUAGUAACGGCGAGUGAAGCGGUAAAAGCUCAAAUUUGAAAUCUGGUACUUUCAGUGCCCGAGUUGUAAUUUGUAGAAUUUGUCUUUGAUUAGGUCCUUGUCUAUGUUCCUUGGAACAGGACGUCAUAGAGGGUGAGAAUCCCGUUUGGCGAGGAUACCUUUUCUCUGUAAGACUUUUUCGAAGAGUCGAGUUGUUUGGGAAUGCAGCUCAAAGUGGGUGGUAAAUUCCAUCUAAAGCUAAAUAUUGGCGAGAGACCGAUAGCGAACAAGUACAGUGAUGGAAAGAUGAAAAGAACUUUGAAAAGAGAGUGAAAAAGUACGUGAAAUUGUUGAAAGGGAAGGGCAUUUGAUCAGACAUGGUGUUUUUUGCAUGCACUCGCCUCUCGUGGGCUUGGGCCUCUCAAAAAUUUCACUGGGCCAACAUCAAUUCUGGCAGCAGGAUAAAUCAUUAAGAAUGUAGCUACUUCGGUAGUGUUAUAGCUUUUUGGAAUACUGUUAGCCGGGAUUGAGGACUGCGCUUCGGCAAGGAUGUUGGCAUAAUGGUUAAAUGCCGCCCGU